UUUACUUUACUCUGUUUUACUCUGUAAUUGAGGCAGUUCUCAUGCUGAAAUCAGGCCUGUUGCACAUGAUGCACCAAUUAAUAGGCCUGGGGCCUGAAUUAUGUUAUAGAUGCAUUGUCCCCGCUCUGAUUUUACAUGACCUACCACUUCAUGACUGAGUUGCUGUUGUUGCCAGUUGCUUCCACUUUGUCAUAAUACCACUAACAGUUGACUGUGGAAUAUUUAGUAGUGAGGAAAUUUCACAAAUGUACUUAUUGCACAGCUGGCAUCCAAUCACCGUACCACGCUUAAAUUCCCUGAGCUCCCAAAAAUGACCCAUUCUUUCGUAAAUGUUGGUAGAAGCAGUCUGCAUGCCUAGAUGCUUGGUUUUAAACACCUGUGGCUAUGGAAGUGAUUGGAACACCUGAAUUCAAUGAUUUGGAGGGGUGUCCCAAUACUUUUGACAACAUAGUGUAUAUCCACAUAAAUACCCUACAGUCAUGGCAGUGCGAUACGGCAUAAUGUCGUUCUUCAAGUGACACCAUAAACGGAAGGAUUAGAAGAAAAGGAGUUUUCAGGGACCAGCAAGAUUAUUUUUAGAUUUGUACUCGGUCACUGUUUGUCUAUUCUAUAUACCUUGUUGCUACUGUAUAUACAGAAGAAUUUCCUCUUGGCAUUGAUGAACUUUAACUUCCUCUUUUGACCAUGAUGAUGACUGACUUAUGUGGCUUAUGAGCCGAUUUAGGCUCCCAAGACUCAUUCUUCUACUAUAAUGUUCUGAUGUCGGUCCAGCAUUAGAGACCAGCUGCUCAAACUUCAGGCUGUACUGGUUCACAUACAGGCUACGGUUGGCUUUCUGGCAACAGGCACCUACCAGAGGGACCUAGCAGACAGAUCAGCCAAAUCCCACCCAAACCUCAGCUCCUCCAUGCCUUCUGUGCUGGAUGGAGUAACCAGACUGGCAUGGUGCUACAUCGUGUUUCCCUACACUUUGGGUGAACAGGCAAAUGUAAAAACUAAGUGCUGUGAUUUCCAUGCUAAUGCUAUCAGGGCAACUGUCUGCACUCUCAUUGCUAUAAGGGCAACUAGUGCUAAUGAAGCUUUGUCAAUUAAAAGCCAUUUAAUUCUAUUAAUGCACAAGUGAUCUGUGAUGCCGACGUGACAUUGACACAUACAGUAGCUCUGUGGCCUGGGUUUCCUCAUGAUCUAUUCAUUUUGAAUCUCUGUAGCACAUCGGUGUCUCCCGAAUGCUAUGACACAGAACUGCAUAAUAGGGAAUCCCCUAUUUUAGAUGUCGGUUUGUCUCAACAAUUAGUCACACUGGCCCUGUGUGCAGCAAGUAGUUUCCUUCCCUAUAUUGUCAGAUCUGACCACCUUUAUUUUCCGGGUGUUUUGUAGAGCUUACAGACUUCACUGCAGUGGCCACGUCUUGCCAAUCAACACACGUUUUCUUGUGUGUGAUCCCUGUACUUAGGCCCCCAAAUAUAACAUUUUGUCGUGCCUUUACCUCUGACAGGAGGACCUCUAACUCUCACUGUACAAAAUUUCUCUCAUUUUUUUAUUUACAGUCUCCAUCAUUGGACUUUCCUAAAAAGAGAGACUUGUUUGCAAACCAUAUGAAGACAAAGACAAAGAAGUUCCUGAUGAAAACCCUCCAGAGACCCCUUCAAGUGGACACCUAGUAAAGUGGAUUGUUGUGAUUGCUG
Molecule: long non-coding RNA, 1685 nt
Organism: Brienomyrus brachyistius
Lineage: Eukaryota; Metazoa; Chordata; Actinopteri; Osteoglossiformes; Mormyridae
Exons: 3
Source: RefSeq, a predicted model, not a curated record